RNAcentral lists this long non-coding RNA (802 nucleotides) under Capsella grandiflora. RNAcentral describes it as "long non-coding RNA (CGRA_LNC001548)". Lineage: Eukaryota; Viridiplantae; Streptophyta; Magnoliopsida; Brassicales; Brassicaceae. The record is from RNAcentral.
CCUCUUCCUGUUCCUCAGACCUUCCAUAGCUAGGCUUCCUGUAACUCCCUUCCUCCUGAUCCUCAGAUCUUCCAUAGCUAGGCUUAAUGUAACUCUCCACCUGUUCCUCAGACCCUCCAUAACUUGGUUUCCUGUAACUACCUUCCUCCUGAUCCUCAGAUCUCCCAUAGCUAGGCUUCCUGUAACCUUCCUCUUGAUCCUCAGAUCUCCCAUAGCUAGGCUUCCUGUAACCUUCCUCUUGUUCCUCAGAUCUUCCAUAGCUAGGCUUCCUGUAGCCUUCCUCUUGAUCCUCAGAUCUUCCAUAGCUAGGCUUCCUGUAACUUCCUUCUUCCUGAUCCUCAGAUCUUCCAUAGCUAGGUUUCUUGUAACCUUCCUCUUGUUCCUCAGACCUUCCAUAGCUAGGCUUCCUGUAACCUUCUUCUUGUUCCUCAGACCUACCAUAGCUAGGCUUACGCUCAUACUCAGACUCUGAUCUGCCACCAUAUCCAGAUCCAAGACCCGAUUCAGGUCUCCUCCCAUACUCAACCUCAGUUCUUCCACCACCAGAUCCAUACUCCGAUUGAUUCUCCGUUCUACCACCAUAACUCUGCUCAGGUCUCCGACCAUACUCCGUCUCAGUUUCACCACCAUAUCCAGAUUCAGGCCUCCUACCAUACUCACUCUCCGUCUGACCACCAUAACCAGAUCCAGAUCCAUAACCAGGAUUCGGCCUCUCACCUUGAACAUGACCGCCACCACCUGAAUCGGGUCGAAAUGCGGGUCGUGGCUUGGGUCGAGAAUAGCUACUGUACUCUGUGUUGAG